ACCCGUUAACCUUAACCUAUUCAAUAACCGAAGGA
RNAcentral lists this ribosomal RNA (35 nucleotides) under Venturia inaequalis. RNAcentral describes it as "partial 28S ribosomal RNA". Lineage: Eukaryota; Fungi; Ascomycota; Dothideomycetes; Venturiales; Venturiaceae. The record is from RNAcentral.